UGGGGAAUAUUGGACAAUGGGCGAAAGCCUGAUCCAGCCAUGCCGCGUGUGUGAAGAAGGUCUUCGGAUUGUAAAGCACUUUAAGUUGGGAGGAAGGGCAGUAAAUUAAUACUUUGCUGUUUUGACGUUACCGACAGAAUAAGCACCGGCUAACUCUGUGCCAGCAGCCGCGGUAAUACAGAGGGUGCAAGCGUUAAUCGGAAUUACUGGGCGUAAAGCGCGCGUAGGUGGUUCGUUAAGUUGGAUGUGAAAUCCCCGGGCUCAACCUGGGAACUGCAUUCAAAACUGACGAGCUAGAGUAUGGUAGAGGGUGGUGGAAUUUCCUGUGUAGCGGUGAAAUGCGUAGAUAUAGGAAGGAACACCAGUGGCGAAGGCGACCACCUGGACUGAUACUGACACUGAGGUGCGAAAAGCGUGGGGGAGCAAAACAG
This 431-nucleotide ribosomal RNA is filed under the name uncultured bacterium. RNAcentral describes it as "partial 16S ribosomal RNA". It matches the Rfam family "Bacterial small subunit ribosomal RNA", at positions 355 to 776 of the family's 1533-position model. The record is from RNAcentral.